Molecule: ribosomal RNA, 481 nt
Filed under: uncultured bacterium
Lineage: Bacteria
Description: partial 16S ribosomal RNA
Rfam family: Bacterial small subunit ribosomal RNA
Source: RNAcentral
GACGAACGUUGGCGGCGUGCUUAAUACAUGCAAGUCAACUGAAGCAGUGGUAGCAAUAUCGCUGUGGAGGUGGCGCACGGGUGAGUAACACGUAGGUAAUCUGCCUUCAGGUCUGGCAUAACUCCGGGAAACCGGGGCUAAUAGCAGAUGAUGCAGCGGCUCGACAUCGAGACAGUUGUUAAAGCUAUGGCGCCUGAAGAUGAGCCUGCGUCUGAUUAGCUAGUUGGCGGGGUAACGGCCCACCAAGGCAACGAUCAGUAGCUGGUCUGAGAGGAUGAUCAGCCACAUUGGAACUGAGACACGGUCCAGACUCCUACGGGAGGCAGCAGUAAGGAAUAUUGCUCAAUGGGAGAAAUCCUGAAGCAGCAACGCCGCGUGAGGGACGAAGGGCUUUUGCUUGUAAACCUCUGUAGUGAGAGAAAAAAAUCCCAAUCUUUGGGACAUGAUGGUAUCUCAAAAGUAAGCCCCGGCUAACUACGUG